GAUCAUGGCUCAGGACGAACGCUGGCGGCGUGCUUAACACAUGCAAGUCGAACGAGAAUCUACUGAAAGAGUUUUCGGACAAUGGAAGUAGAGGAAAGUGGCGGACGGGUGAGUAACGCGUGAGGAACCUGCCUUGAAGAGGGGGACAACAGUUGGAAACGACUGCUAAUACCGCAUGAUGCAUAGGGAUCGCAUGAUUUUUAUGCCAAAGAUUUAUCGCUUCAAGAUGG
RNAcentral lists this ribosomal RNA (230 nucleotides) under uncultured bacterium. Its description in RNAcentral is "partial 16S ribosomal RNA". It matches the Rfam family "Bacterial small subunit ribosomal RNA", at positions 15 to 228 of the family's 1533-position model. The record is from RNAcentral.